UAGGGAAUCUUCCGCAAUGGGCGAAAGCUUGACGGAGCAACGCCGCGUGAGUGAUGAAGGUCUUCGGAUCGUAAAACUCUGUUAUUAGGGAAGAACAAAUGUGUAAGUAACUAUGCACGUCUUGACGGUACCUAAUCAGAAAGCCACGGCUAACUACGUGCCAGCAGCCGCGGUAAUACGUAGGUGGCAAGCGUUAUCCGGAAUUAUUGGGCGUAAAGCGCGCGUAGGCGGUUUUUUAAGUCUGAUGUGAAAGCCCACGGCUCAACCGUGGAGGGUCAUUGGAAACUGGAAAACUUGAGUGCAGAAGAGGAAAGUGGAAUUCCAUGUGUAGCGGUGAAAUGCGCAGAGAUAUGGAGGAACACCAGUGGCGAAGGCGACUUUCUGGUCUGUAACUGACGCUGAUGUGCGAAAGCGAGGGGAUCAAACAGG
RNAcentral lists this ribosomal RNA (429 nucleotides) under Actinomycetes bacterium. Its description in RNAcentral is "Actinobacteria bacterium partial 16S ribosomal RNA". It matches the Rfam family "Bacterial small subunit ribosomal RNA", at positions 355 to 776 of the family's 1533-position model. The record is from RNAcentral. Lineage: Bacteria; Bacillati; Actinomycetota; Actinomycetes.